This 253-nucleotide ribosomal RNA is filed under the name uncultured bacterium. Its description in RNAcentral is "partial 16S ribosomal RNA". It matches the Rfam family "Bacterial small subunit ribosomal RNA", at positions 524 to 776 of the family's 1533-position model. The record is from RNAcentral.
UACGUAGGGGGCUAGCGUUGUCCGGAAUCAUUGGGCGUAAAGAGCGCGUAGGCGGCCAGAUAAGUCCGGUGUGAAAGUCAAAGGCUCAACCUUUGAAUGCCGCUGGAAACUGUCUGGCUAGAGUCCGGGAGGGGCGAGUGGAAUUCCUGGUGUAGCGGUGAAAUGCGCAGAUAUCAGGAGGAACACCAAUGGCGAAGGCAGCUUACUACACAGUUAUUGACGCUGAGGCACGAAAGCGUGGGGAUCAAACAGG